Paramuricea clavata is the source of this 84-nucleotide non-coding RNA. The record is from the annotation of a GenBank genome assembly. Lineage: Eukaryota; Metazoa; Cnidaria; Anthozoa; Malacalcyonacea; Plexauridae.
CCCAUAUUGUUCCUGGUUGUUAACAAUAUUGUUCAUGCUGAACAAUGCUGAACAAUAUUGUUAACAACCAGGAACAAUAUGGAC